RNAcentral lists this long non-coding RNA (3658 nucleotides) under Marmota monax (woodchuck). Lineage: Eukaryota; Metazoa; Chordata; Mammalia; Rodentia; Sciuridae. The record is from RNAcentral.
GCUGGGAUUACAGGUGUAUGCCACAGCACCCGGCUCAAUUUACAUUUUUAAUAUCCAAGUAUAGGUGUUAAUUCUCCAAGGAAUACUGGAGUAGAAGAAAUUCAAAGAAUUUGAUUUUGAGGCAAGAAAUCACUCCAGACCUCAGCUUGGAAUAUUUAUUUAUAUUAAAUAGUUUAUUAAUAGUUAUAUUAAGUAGUUUGGUCUAAAGAUUAACUUUUGAGGCAUGCUAAUGACCAGCACCCAUGGGAAAUUCAAAGGGAAAAAACGCCUUCCAAGCCUUAGUUAUUAGUCAGUUUUCUCUUACUAUAACAAAUAUCUAAGGUUAAACUUAAAGAAAGAAAAUGUUUACUUUGGCUUGCAGGUUUGGAAGUUUCAGAUUGCUUAUGGGUCUGUGGUGAAACAGCACCUUGUAGUGUGGCAAGCUUCUCACCUCAUGGUGGCCCAGAAGUGAAAGGAAGAGGAGGGGCAGGGUCCCAAUAACCCCUUCAGGGUCAUGCCCCUUAAUGACCUAGUUUCUUCCCACAAUUCCCCACCUCCUAAAGUUCUACUACCUCCCAGUAGCGCCAUGGGCUAGAGACCAAGCCUUUAAUGUGAGGGGCCUUUGGGAGACAAACUAUAGAGGUGGGCAUAUUGAUGCAUACCUGUAAUCCCAGCAACUCAGGAGACUGAAGCAGGAGGAUCUGAGGUUUCAGGCUAGCCUCCACAACUUAGUGAGACCCUAUCUCAAAAUACAUAAAAAGGGCUGGGAAUGUAGCUCAGUGCUAGAUACCCCUGGGUUCAAUCCCCAAUCGGGGGGAAAAAAAGCCACAACAAACCUGUAGUAUCCAGUAUUUUUAGUGAGAAAUUAAAAAUAAUCUAGUCUUGAGACAGUUUUAGUGGAUGAGAUUUUUUUUUUUUCUCCUAAACUAGGGAUUGAACUCAGGGCCUCACACAUGCUAGGUAAUCUUUCUACCACUCUGCAAUAUUUCUAGUCCUAGAUAAAAAAAGUUUUUUAUAUAUGUCAGUUUAUGGUCCAAAUAAGAGAUGGAAACCAUGCAAAUUAUUUUAAUAAUAUGACAUAAAGAAUUGAUAGUAUAGUAACUAAAGAAAAGCAAAAAGUAGUAUUCAGGAAUCAAGGAAAUAGGGACUGUGGGUAUAUCUUUCAGUAAGAGAGUGCUUGCCUAGCAUGCAUGAGACCCUGAGUUCCAUCCCCAGGGAGAAAGAAGGAAAGAAGACAGAUCAGGGGAUGGCAGUUGGGGAAGAGCCUGAGGAUGGGUGUUGCUUCUCUGGUGUUGUGUCUGAGGCUGUUAGGAAGCUGGCUCUGAGCAGGUUGCAAAUGGCAGCUGGAGUCCCCUGCAUCUGUGGAACAAACUGCUUCCUCUGGAAAACACUGGCAGGGGCCAGCUGGCAAAGUGGAAGUGUCUGCAGAGCUCUGUCCCCAGUAUCACAAAAGCACAGUUAAAAAGAAUGGAUGUGGAGCGGAGGCAAGAACCGGAAUGCUACCCACUCCCGCUUUGCCCCUGGGUAUCUACAGGCCCUUCUAUUCCCAGGGCCACAAAAGCAACCCUUUCUGCCCCAGAGAAAUGACUAAUUGUAGAACUUCUCAUUCUCUUCCUCAAGAUGAAGAAAUGUGAGGCCCUGCAAACAUAUCAAUCUCUGGGCUCUGUUGAUUCCUCUACUUGAGCCAUAGUUCCAUCAGAAUAUAUAAUAACAAUGUUACUUAAGGAUCAGAGGAUAAAGUUAACUUUUCUAAAAAAAAAAAAUAUAUAUGAGCUCUAUCUCUGGCCACAUUUGGACAUUUCUUGUUUCUCCUAUAUCUGCUCAUGGCCUUGGGUCUGCUUUCCUUUGACUGCAGUCAUGCUGUCAGCUGAAAGUAUUAGCCAAAUCCUGCCCACUGGCCUACAUCUAUAUGACCUCCAGUCGGAUGCCUGGACAAAGAACCCACCUCUCUUCCAACAAUUUAUGGAAACAUGGCUCACUGAGGUGUUAGUUUGAGCCAAUAGCGUCAACAGCAGGCUUCUACAAACCUCAGAAUGUCCAUCAACAAACAUUUGCCUGGGCAGCAUGACGAACACAUGAUGAUGGAGAGAUGACGGGAAGCAGUGGGAUGUCUUUGGGGAGCUCAUAGGAAAGGGGAAAGGCAUGGAGAUAGGAGGGCCUGUUGGAGAUUUGUGGGUUCAAGUACAGUCAGUUUGGGCCUAGUCCAGUGGGCAGGUGACCUUCACUCACCCAAACUCUGGAAGUACAGAGAGUAGGGGGAUGGGUUUGUGCUGGAGAUGUUGCCUAUGGGCAAGACCAGCAUUUAUGCAGUAAAUUGUACCAUUUGCUGAAAACUGACUCUCUCUGCUAGGCACUAUAAUUACUUUACAUCAAUAUUUCAUUUAAAUUUCACAAUAGCACAAAAAUAAAAUGGAUCAAAGACCUCAGAAUUAGACCAGAGACUGCAAAUCCUGGAAGAAAAAAAUAGGGUCAACACUCCAGCUUUUACAUACAGGCAAAGACUUUAUUAAUAGGACCCCUAAAGCUCAGGAAAUAAUGCCAAGAGUUAAUAAAUGGGACAGCAUCAAAUUAGAAAACUUCUACACAGCAAAGGAAACAAAAAUGAAGAGAGAGCCUAUAGAAUGAGAGAAAAUCUUUGUUAGCUAUUCUUCUGACAGAGGAUUAAUGUCUAGAAUAUAUAGAGUUCAAAAGACUGUACACCAGGGGCUGGGGCUCUGGCUCAGCGGUAGCACACUUGCCUGGCAUGUAUGAGGCACUGGGUUGGAAUCUCAGCACUGUGUAUAAAUAAAGGUCUAUCAAUAAUUAAAAAAAAAUUUAAAAAGAAACUGUAUACUAAAAAAUCAAAUAACCCAAUUAAUAAAUGGGCAAUGAAUUAAACACAUACUUCUCAAAAGAAGAAAUACAAAUGGCCAACAAAUGGUUGAAAAAAUGCACAACAUCAUUAGCAGUUAGGGAAAUGCAAAUCAAAACUACAAGUAGAUUUUAUCUCACACGUCAGAAUGGCAGUCAUCAAGAAUACAAAUAAUAAUAAAUGCUGGAGAAAGUGAAGAAAAAGGAACACUUUUACAUUGUUGGUGGGAUUGUAAAUCCAACAAGACUAUGGAAAUCGGUAUGAAGAUUCCUCAAAAGACUAGGCAUGGAACCACCCAGCUGUACCACUCCUUGAUAUUUGUCCUGAAGAAUUAUUAAAGUCAGCAUGUUGCAGUGAUACAUACAAACUAUGGAACCAGCCUAAGUGUCCAUCAGUGGAUGAAUGGAUAAAGAAAAUGUGGUAUAUAUACACAAUGUAAUUUUAUUCAGCCAAAAGAAAAAUGAAAUUGUGGCAUUUGCCAGAAAAUGGAUGGAACUAGAGAUCAUCACUGUCAUGUCCGUGGUGGUGACUUAGAACAAAGCAGCCUAUGCAGGAAAGGAACCUCAAUCAUGCGCCGAGCAAAUGCCUGUCGGUCAGCAGGAUCUCCUGACAAAAGCCUGUCAAUCGUCAGGACCCCCUGACCAAUCCUGGAGUUCAGCCAGCUCCCCUGACCAACUCCAGCGGGACAGGGGACCUUUUCCUGUCCCAAGCUCUUCCCUUCCUGCCUAAGCCCCAUAAAAUCCCAAUCCGGUAGAGCUCCCAUGCGGUUUCUCCUCAGACCUUUCUCCUGUCCACUCUGUAGGUCUAAUCAAGUUCCGCCCAGGAGUG